UCAAUUCAGAAUAAAAAGUCCAGUUUUGCCCUAAUAAGGAUUAUUAUACCAAUUCAAACUACUAGUACAGUCAACAAAAUCGUACCUUUUCCGCACAUGUCCUUUAAGGAGGUUCUGAUUCCUUAUCCCUUCAAGAUGAUAACCUCUGAAUCACUUAGGUCCCUGUAGACAAAAAGACGAUCAUCAACACACAUCUCAGCUUGGGUUUUUACCUUUUUUUUUUUUUUUAAGUCACAUCUAUCCAAGCCCAGGCACGUUGAGGGACAUGCAGUCCUCUCCCGAGGCACAGCCCCGAAGCGAUCAAUAAGGCCAUUUCCAGAUAAUCACCCCUCCUGUCUUCCUGGACAGUGUUAACACUUGCACAGCCUGUAAUAAACCAUAUGGAUCAAUACGACAUCAGUUCUACAUGGAACUUUUCCACCUCAGCUAAUGCAGUGAAAUGUGAACUGGAUUUUGGUACAAUCUGACCUUCUUUCUGCUCCAGUUAUCAGAAUCCUACUAAACCUGUCAAGAUCACCAAGUGAAACAGACAGCUCUUGUUACAUAAUCAUACACGCGUCUCACUAGCUGACUGACAGCACAUCUCCACUGGGGCAUUUUGAAAUGACAUGAGUUAGUUUAUACCGAAAAGGAACAAGAUGACCCGAGGGAGUCCAAAAAGACUGAAAUGGGGGAAAAGUAAUAAAAGAUCAAAACGUCAACUGUCAGCUGGCGGCCAUCUUGGUGAUUAUCGACAUUGGGGAACCGCGUACAAAGCCUUUUCCUCUAAUAAAUCACUCACAGAAAGUGUCGCUGCAAAUGUUGCCAGGUUUCAUUGCAGUUUAAUCAGCUCAAUGAAUGUUUUAAUAGGCUGAUAUUUCAGACAGCGAAUGGCACUGCAGUGAUUAAUGGCGAGGGGUGAACUCUUUCCCUCCCUCCAACGCUGCUUCUCUGCCAAGGAUCACUAAAGAAAUAUCUUAUCUCUCUACUCUUGUAUUGACAUCACACAUUUAUUUGAAAGUUAACAAGCUCAUCUGCAAACCAAUCUUGUUGUAAUUGGCUAAUAGGUGACGCGAUGUUUUCUGUCUGAUAAGGCUGCACGUUUUCCUAAAUAUAUUAUCUGCAUGUUUUUCCCUUCUGCGGGUCUUUUAUGAAUUCAUCAGGAGGCCUCAUCUCACUCCCUGGCCUCCUAUACCAUUUAAUAUGUCUUUACCCCUCCUCCUCCUCUCUCGGAGGAUUGCACUGUUUCUCAAUUUGUCA
Long non-coding RNA from Syngnathus typhle (broad-nosed pipefish), 1239 nucleotides. RefSeq lists it as uncharacterized. The record is from RefSeq and is a predicted model, not a curated record. Lineage: Eukaryota; Metazoa; Chordata; Actinopteri; Syngnathiformes; Syngnathidae. The transcript is spliced from 3 exons.